GAAGCCUCAAGGCUAAUUAUUGAUCUCUAUUCAAAACCUCAUGGAGUUCCCCCCAUCCACUUCCUAAGUUGCGAACCCCAUGGGUGAUGACCAAGAACCCAGAAAUUUCAUUCCAUUCUCUCAUGCACUCCACAUACCUUGAACCCCUAAGACAAGAACUCCGUCUCCUUGCUGUCGGCUGAAGGUACACCUCCAGGAGGGGAGGCGCUAAUUUUGCGGUCUUUCUUGUUGUCGUUGCUCUGUGUGAUUUGAUGGAGUGCUCACUGCAUGAAGCUCGAAAUCCAGAGUUUCCUCAUCGUCUUUCUGCCUCUCUUAUGUUCAGCCGAAGACCUUCAUUCAAAGAGGUAAAGCAAUUUCCUCCCCUUGUUCAACGCGAAUUAAACCAGUUCUGAUUAAGUUUUGUUUCGUUCCACUGCAUGCCCAUGACUCGGCUGUGGUUGAGUCUCUCUUUCCCUUGUAUAUAAUUGGAAUCGGUCCCUUGGAGCAGUGGAUGAAGGAAGUUGUUGUCCAUGAGUGAAAGUUAGUUGUGUAUUCUUGAAAAGAGGUGUGAAAAAUCGUUGAGACGUUGGACUGUUUCGUUGUGAAUCGGUAAAGUAAAUUCCGACUACGAGGAGGACGUAAAAGCUUUUGAGGACUUGGAUAUUUGCUGUUGGCUUCCACUGUUUGGGCAUGCUGCUAUUGAUGUGAUAUUUUAUGGAUGACUGUAUGAAAUUGAGAAGCUUUUAUUACUGUGAACUAUGAUUUUAUUAUUGCAUUACGAUUUUAUGACCAGCAAGUAUUUUGGAAACAGAUGUUGAAACGUUUGCGAAAAGGAU
Long non-coding RNA from Gastrolobium bilobum, 815 nucleotides. RefSeq lists it as uncharacterized. NCBI's taxonomy places the organism in Eukaryota, Viridiplantae, Streptophyta, Magnoliopsida, Fabales, Fabaceae. The record is from RefSeq and is a predicted model, not a curated record. The transcript has 3 exons.